RNAcentral lists this transfer RNA (72 nucleotides) under Camelus bactrianus (Bactrian camel). It matches the Rfam family "tRNA". From Rfam's summary of the family: Transfer RNA (tRNA) molecules are approximately 80 nucleotides in length. Their secondary structure includes four short double-helical elements and three loops (D, anti-codon, and T loops). Lineage: Eukaryota; Metazoa; Chordata; Mammalia; Artiodactyla; Camelidae. The record is from Rfam by way of RNAcentral. RNAcentral also lists the same sequence under 2 other names.
GAGGGUGAAGCUUAGUGGUAGGGGGUGUGCCUAGCAGGCACCAGGUCCUGGGUUCACCCCCUAGUACCUUCG